Molecule: long non-coding RNA, 22841 nt
Filed under: Coffea arabica (coffee)
Lineage: Eukaryota; Viridiplantae; Streptophyta; Magnoliopsida; Gentianales; Rubiaceae
Description: long non-coding RNA (CARA_LNC006219)
Source: RNAcentral
GAGCUGCUGAACGUUUGCUGGCUGGAAAUUCAUGGAUGGUUCAACACGGUCAAUCUCACACCAAGAACUCUCUAUCAGGUUGUAUUUGUUCUUAUGUUAAAAGAUCCUGCUUAUGGAUGGGGAAUUCCAGUGAACUUCAGACUCAUUCUAGCAGAUGGAAGCAGACAGGAACACAAAGAAAAUAUGAUGGAAAAACCUAGGGGAAAGUGGAUAGAAAUCCUAGCAGGAGAAUUUGAGACGUUGCCAGAGAAUGAUGGGAAUAUGGAGUGUUCAAUGUAUGAAUAUGAGGGUGGGGGGUGGAAGAGAGGACUGGUCAUAAAAGGAAUUCUCAUUCGACCAAAAGACUGAAGUUCUUCAGCAAUCCGCUACGACUGCAGAGGCAAUUUAUGCUGGCCAAAGUUUACUUUCAAAUCACACGGGAUGAAGAAUCCAAUUACAAAAACCAGUGUACUGAGGAAUCAAAACAACAAGAUGAUGCUUUUAUAAAUAAAAUGCCUUAAAUUUCUCCUACAAAAAAUUUAUCUUUUACACCGUCUGUGUAUAAACACUCUGAAGCACGUUGGUUGUUUAACUUUCUGCGAACACAAUUAAUAAAGGAGAUGCCCAGGGUUAACCUCCAAACCAAUAUAAGAUUCAUUUGACAACCUUAUGAACACUACAUAGACCCAAAUCUCCUCACUAAAAGUAAUAUUGAAAAAGAUUAUACGGCCUAUGCUUUUGAUGAUACCUCUAGAUCCAUUCAACAGUUCACAAGUACAAACUGUAAACAACAAAAGUUACGUGGUCAAAGCAUUUAUUGUACUAAAUUCCAGAUAAAUCAAUUUAUGUUGAAAACUAAUCAUUCAAUAAUUAUAGAAGAUAAGAUAAUUAGUGCUGAAACCUUAUUCUAUACUAAUUUAACCGAAAAUUGUAUCAUGGAUCUAUGAUAAACUUCAUAAUGAAUUUAAAUUUGACAGAUGUAUCAUAAUCUGAAAAUGAAAUAGAGAAGAAACCUGAAAAGCAAAGAACUGCACAUUUGUCAACUGUAGACUGUUUGAACCCAGAAGAGAUUAUUAUUAUGUAGGUUCUUACUAGAACACAAUACAUUGGGACGCUGUCCAUCCAGAAUAGAAAAUUCUAUGGAGCAUAACCUCUCCAGAGAUAUUCUAAUAACUAAAAGUUGGACGGACAUUCUUCAUUAGAAAAUUGUAGCUACAUAUGUCUGCACACAAAUGACUAGGUUCAAGAUGAAGAUACAUAAAUCUUCACUCUCACCAAGGCUUAUUCAGACCAAGAGCUUCAGGAGAAAUUUCAGUUUGUGACAUCUAUUCUAGACAUUAGUUCACCAAAGAUUGCAUUUGUGUUCAGACAUGUGAAAUCCCUUGUACUCGUAGUACCAAAUGCUAGAGGACAUUCCAAUGCCAUGCAUUUGGGCCAAUUUCCUUGGACAUGAGAGACAAAUAUACAGAGAAACAUACAAUAUCAGCAGAACCAAAAUUCAAAAAGUUUCAAGGAAUUCAUCACUGAACAAAGAAUGAUCAGAUGAAGGUGCAAUUUUAAGUUUUAUCCUGUGCCAGAUGUUUAAUGCAAUGACUUAGUUACUGCUCCAGCUACCAAAGUAUAGCAUACAAGAAACAGAGGGGGACUUUUCAAGGGAGACAGAAAAUGAGAUAUCUAUUAAAUGAAACUCAGACCCAUAUUUCAUAAGCCCAUUUCCUUGUCUACAUCUCAAUAUCUAUCUCUAAGAAAUUAUUAUAUAUUUAGCUUACUAAAAGUAAAAUUUUGAGUUUAGGAUAUGAAACAACUACUCACUUGCAAUUUCAGCCAAAAAGAAAAUGACGAACUUCAAUUACUGUUGAUUUUACAUCAGUCGCAAGCAUUCAGUAGUAUAAGCUUGUAUGGAAAGAUAUAGAAUCUCAAUAAAGAUUAGAAUUCAAUGAAGUCAUAGCCACCUAAACCUAACAGCAGGUCUUGUAUCACAGGCACAAAAAGAACUAUGUAGUAUGUCAAAUAUCUGUACGGUAAUUUUCUGGCUUGUACCACAAAGAGAAAUCAAUUCCUUUGUUCUUUAAUCUCUCAGUUGCAGGACCAAUUCUCUCCAGCAGCUGCACAUUUAAUACAAGAAUAUCAGGUGAAGACUAAGGAAAACAAACAAAAUACAAAAAAAAAAAUAAAUGUUAAUACUUUCUCAUAAAAAAUUUCCUAUUCUAGUCAGCAAUCACAUUCUAAAAUACAGAUAAAGCACACGUCUCUGCAGCAGUCAGUCGUUUGAACUCAAACAGAAACAGACGAGUGGAACGAGGUAAACAGUAACGAAAACAAUACACAUUGUCACGAAUACAUCAACUGAUGGCCCGCAUAUCCAUGAUCACAAAUCCAGUAACAAGCCAGCAACUUCUGGCUGGUGGUAACAACCCAAAAAAGUGACUAAAAGGAUUCAAAUACAUGAACUGAGGCAGAGGACAAGUGAUGGUACUAACUAGGUAAAUAAGAGAAAACAACAUUACAUAUGUUAUACACAAUACCAGAUAUCACAAUCAUCCAGUUCUCCACCAGAUUCCACACCAAACGUGUCCCCACGCCACUCUUUAGCUGUGCUAGUUUCCUGCUCUCCACAGACAUCCACAGUUUUCAUAUGUUCCUACCUACUUUUACCCACCAUUAUUUGGUUUGGAAGCUCCUACAGCUUAAAAUAAGUCCUAACUUCUUAAAAUAAGUCCUAACAGCCAAGGAUCCAGAUGCACAUUUAAGAUGAAUUUCAUGUGCUAAGAUGGAUAGCAACAUUUAGAAGGCCUUCUGGGGCUUGUGAGGAAAGUAUAAGUUUGAGUAAUCGAUAAAAAAUUCAGCUUCAGGGUGUGUCAGUUUGAUGUGUCUUUUGAUCCAUUUCACCUAUUGAAUGGUUACCUACUCAAAGAAACUGUAAUGGAGUAAAGUCCAGUCAAAAUCAUAUAAAACAACCCAGAUUCUUUUCGAAGUAACAAUUAACUAGAAUAAAGAUCUUUGGAGGCAGCUAUACUAGCACGAGAUUGCCUACAACUUAAUUUCUUCUUCUGAUCAAAAGACUGUAAGCACUCCUUUGGAGUGCAGUGACUGGUAAAGUGCUUCUAAAAUCAAAAGCUCCAACUUCAGCUUCAUCCAAAAGUACUAUUAAGUGAAAGUACCUAACCCAAGAAUUAUUAAUGAAAUUAAAAAGCACUUCACAACUGUAAAGAUUCCAACUAAAAGCACCAUAGUCCAGAACGAACUCUAAAGUAAUUAUACAAGAUCUGGGUGGUCAGCCUCCAAAUCAGAUCCAUAGUAAACAAGCUUGCAACCAUCAUGUUUUCUUUCUAGCAAUUGUUAGAGAAUAUUUAGCUUUAUUCCCCUGUUGGAUUUCAUUCACGAUUUGAUGCAUAUAUGGGAUAAUCAUAUAAAAUAUUCUGUUACAGGGAAAAAACGCACGCGCGCGCGCACAAUUACACCUUACGCAAAGAUUGCUGUUUCUUAGUUAAAGCAUCACGAGCUUAAAUCUGGGCUCAUCACUGACAAGAAAUUAAAUUGUGAAUGCAGUAGAUAAGGGGGAUAAUUAACCUUUGCAUGCAAUACACCAUUGGAUACCAAGACUGAUCUAUCAAAUACUGAAAACUUCCCACCAUCCAUGCAAGAAACUGCUCCUCCAGCCUCUUCAACAAUCUGUUAGAAUUUGCAAUAACACAUAUUCCAUUAUGAGUCAAGAGCAGCCAGCAAUAACCACAAGAAGCGAAAGUGACAACUAUCACUUUUAAAACCCUGAAUCUUGAAUGAAAAUAUAUAAUCAGAGCAUCCAAAUUCUUUAUCAAAGUUUGUACCUCAAAGAAGUACAUUUAGUUUAAAUACUGCAAAAUUCUUAACUAAUCUAUGAAAGACUUCAUAUAACACAGUUCUAAGCAUCAUAAGUUGAGCCAUUAUUCUGUUGUGAUCUAAAAGCCACCUUAAUCUCUGUUAUUCUCACUUUUGAGAAUAGUUAUUAAACCUGGCCUGGCCCGGUGGUUUGACCAGUUAACAAGGUGAACAGGCCAUUAGGCCAGGCUGGGUAGCUAAUCUGACUGGACAAGGCACUCAACCGCUAAAUUUCAAUGACUCAGCGGCUCAACCAGAAGAACCAGGAACCCAUGAGGUUUUUUAAGAAACCCUGGUCUGUGAAUUUUGGAGAAAAAAGUUAAUCACAUGCUGCUGCUUCAUUUCAAACAUGCAAUCUCCAACAUGAGGUGGCAAGCCUCCCCGCUGGGCCAGUAGCUCUCCUGAUGUUAGUUGAAGGUUUUCUAUAUAUUUAUUUAUUUCUUAACGUCCUCCCUUUAUUGAAGCCUUUUGUAAAAGCUUCAUUAUGCCCUCAUCCUCUGUGCUAAAAAUUAAGAAAUUAAUAGCCAAAAGAUAUAUUACUGCAAUUCAAUAUCAAUCAAAAUGAUAUAUUAUUACAACUCAUCCACAAGACAAAUUUGAUUCAAAAUAAAAUUUUACCUCUGGAAGUUAAAUUAAAUGAAAUAAAAAUUUACACUUGAAAGUUGGUUUGAAAUACUAGUGAAAUUUAUUGCUCUCAAUCCUUAAAAGUAGUUACUUACUUAACAUUUCAUUGAAAACUGAAGAAAAAUUUUGUUGUAAAUUGUAACAUAGUCUGUUAAUAUCUACGCUUGCAUUAAAAAGUAUAAGUACACUAUAUUUAAUUUUACACUUGAAAGUUGGUUUGAAAUACUAAUGAAAUUUAUUGCUCUUAAUCCUUAAAGUAGUUACUUACUUAACAUUUCAUUGAAAACCGAAGAAAAAUUUUGUUGUAAAUUGUAACAUAUUCUGUUAAUAUCUAUGCAAUAUAUAUUGCAUUAAAAAGUAUAAGUACACUAUAUUUAAUUUUAAGAUCAGAUUCAAUCAACCACCCACUGGUUGAAUCUGUAACCCAUUGACCCACCCCUUUCACCGGUUUCCUGUCCGGGACAGAUUUAAUAAGUAUGGUUUUGAGGCUAUAUUGUUACAUUAGCUCAUAAAGGAAGCAUUCACUUUAUUGGAGACACUGCUUCACCAAAACUUUUCCCUGCUCAGUUGACUUAUAGUCACUGCAAUCUUUACAAGAAAAAUGCAGGCAUAUCUUACACUUCAUGCUGAUAAUAAGCAGAUGGCAUACAGAUGGAAAGGAUAGCAAAAAAUUCCUAAUUUAGCAGAAAAGUCCCAGUACGUUCUUUUUGGUAAGUAAACAUCCUAUUUAUUUGAAGUUCAAUAAAAGUUAGACAGCAAUGUUGUGUCAAAAUAGACCAUUGUCAAUCUGUAUCAUUAAAGCACUAGAUCGAAAGAACAUAAAAGAAAUAAAACUGUACUCUCAAUGAAAUAAGCCUGAUACUUGAAUUUCUACAGGAAUAUUUGGAAAGUAAACUACAGACUCAUCUUUUGCAAGUUUAAAAUGGCACAAUAAAAAAGGAAAAAAUUACCAAUACACCAGCUGCCAUGUCCCAGGGUUUUAGACGAUAUUCCCAAUAGGCUUCAGCAAUCCCAAAAGCAACAUGGCACAUGUCCACGGAAGCAGCUCCAAGCCUUCUAACACCCUGACCAAGAAGAGCACAAACAGACAGAUAGACACAUAAUAAGAUGGAGAAAGAAAGAUAGAAAUAAAUAAGUUAACCAUUAGUUCUUAGUUCGAAAAAGAAAUAAGUGUUUUUAUAUUUGGGAUUAAAUAAAGCUAACAACUAAAAAAGGUAACUCAGGAUUAUGGUUUCUUUUAGUUUAUAUAGUAAGUAGAAGAGAGUUGUACCCUGCUAACAUCAGUAAAUUCCUUGAAUAAAUCAAUGUUGGUAGCCCAUGCAUCAUCAUGUUCAUAUCCAAAUCCAGUCACCAGAAGCGAUUUUUCCACCUAAAUGUCAACAAGUACAAAACGAAUGUUAGCUGGGAGCAAAAGAAAUUCAAAUUAAUAAAUCAUAAACACCUAAAUAGGAAGUGACAUAUUAAUGUAAGUUAUUGUUAGUAUGAUACAGUUGAUCAAACAGAUUGCUUAACAGAUAUAUUGUGGCUUUCAAUGUAAGCACAUUGAAAUUGUUACACAGAAGAAUAUAUUGUAAGCAACAUAAGAUUUGUCACCAUUUCCUUGUAUAGCUUUCCAAGAACUCAGAAGAACUGGAAACUAGUUCUUGCAUAGGGCUUAGAUUGGCAUUGUCUGAUGUAACAGCUUAAGAACUGGAAUUGAAAUGCUACCCUUGUGUAAAAUCUGAAAUUCUCUGAUCAACAAAAGUUUCUUACUUUGCAAAAAAAAAAAGCUUGAAGCAAGCAAAAUGCUGGAUUUUAAUACUUCUGAGAAAUGCUGUUGCCAUGAGAUGUGCAUGUCCUUUAUAAAUAUUAACUCAGAACAAGUUACUUCAUGUAGCCAUCUAAGACCAUGAAACUAUACAAUAAAGAUCGGUUGAAGUUGGGCCAAAAACAGAGCAAGUGAUCCACACUCGGAUCCACUAUUCAUCCGAACGCUCGGCUGUUUCUGGGUUAGUGGAUCCGAGCUCGGAUCCAUACGGAUCCGAGGCACUGUAGCAGCUCGGAUCACUGGUCAGAAAAGGCUGCUUUAUACGCGUAAAACUCAAUUUCACCUCCACCAACUCACAUGGGAUGCUAGACAUGUGAGAAACAUUCCCAGCUGUAAAAGGGAGUUGAAAACAUCAUUUCUUGACCAACCUUUCAUCAUUAAAUAGCCAAAUUCAUUGCAAAAUGAAAAGAGGGAGAUGAUAGAGUAAGAGAUAGAGAGACAUACGGGAGAAGCUUGGAGUCUGCAGAAAUGUAGCUCUUUCAUCUUCCUAGUAUUAGUUUAGCUUAGUAUAGAGUAGUAUAGUUCAACCAUUCUUGUUUAUUAUCUAGAUUAGGAUGAAGAUGGAGGAUGAAGAAGGCAAGGAAGAAAGCUCAUGUGACAAGGGUUGUAUUCCUUCCAAACUCUUUAUCUUUUGUAUUUGAUUCCAAGUUUAGUUAAUAUACAAGUUCUGGAUUUCGUGUGUAAUAUGUGUUUUUAAAGUUUAAGCCUUGGGUUUGGUUGAACUUUCUAUGAUUGUUAGUGUUUAUUAUUUGGUUAUUUGAUUGCUAUGAUUUGAGCAAGUUAUUUAGCACUUUGGCUUCUUAAAUCAUGAUUAAUCUGGUACCAUUAAUUGUGAUUAUCUAAGGUGUUGUUUCUGCAAUGAAAAUUGAGAUUUAACACUAGUUCAAGAAGUGCUAAACAUAGGGAGUACACUCACGAAAGUAGAGGUGCACUUAUGUGGUUUUUAGUGAUUCAUUUCAUGUAAUUUCAUUGAAGAAAUGAACUUGUAGCUAAUUUCAUAACCAUGAAAAUAGGUAUGGAUUAGUUAUGAGUAUAGUUGAUUCACUACGAAAGUAGGUUUCACAUGUUUAAGGAAAUUACACCAUAAUUAGCUUAGAUGUAGUACUCAAUGAUCUAAAUAUAGCACUUGCAUGAGUAGUUAGGGAUACCACAACCUAAGGAGCUUUUAUUUGUUAUUUUGUAUAAUUUCAGUAGGUUAAAUUUGUUAUAAUUCAUUGAUAGUCUAAAUAAUAAAGAAGCUUUAAUAAUACCGGUAAUUGUUCACUCUUCCCUGUGGGAUUGACCCGAUAUAUACCCUAAACUACUAGUUGAUCUGUAUACUUGCAGUGAACGGGUGUAAUUCGAUUUUUUAACUUGUACGUAUGUAAAAUACCCGUCACAAGAUAAAAAGAUAUCUAUAAUAUACCAAAGAACUCGAACAAAUUGGACCUAAGUAACUAUAUACACGUUGUAAAUAACAAAUAACAAAAGUAAAAAAAAAAAUUAAAUCACGUGCAAUUGCAACUUACAAAUCCAUUACUAAGAUUGUAUGAUGAACAAAUUGAUAUUAAAAAAAAAUUAUUUGACAUUGAAAGAACUCCUAAAGAUCUAGUCAACGAGAUUUUGAUCUAACGGUUAAGGUUAAAAUUGCAGGAUUUAAAGGUUUUAGAUUUCAAAUCUCUCCUCGUUCCUUAAAUUCCAUCCAUCCCUUGAUAAAAAAAAUUCUAAGUGUCUAAUAUUCCAUAUCCACGGUUCUUUUACUUUGAACUAUUGUAAUUGCUCUUUGAUGGUUAUUUCACAUCAAAGAAAGAAUUUGAGGUUAUAACUAUAUACUAAUAUCAAGGGACUAAAUUAAUUUCUUACAAACUUUGAGAGUCCAUGGACUUUUUAAAGAGUUUAAAACUAAAUAGAACUUCUUUUGAGAAAAAAAGGACUAAGGAGAACAUUUUGCAAAUAUUUAAGGACCUUCAAAGUAAUUUACGCCACUUGAAUAUGUUUAACAUACAUAUAUGUGUAUAUAUAUAUAUAUAUAUAUCAAUUAAUAAAAUAAUUCAUAAACACCAUUAUUUAUUAGAAAUCUCUAUACUGUAUUAUACGGAUGAGUUUUAGUCAAACUCAUAUUUCAAACUUCGACUGUAUGGUUUGGGGUAUUUUUACAACCGUUACUUCAAUUCUUCUUCUUCUUCCUUAUCCUACAAUUUAUUUAUUUGCCAUAAUAAGCUGUUGGGUUUCAGUUGUGCGAUAUGAUUUCUACCAGGUUUUUUUUUGUAAUUUAAUAAAAUUGUUUAAUGAGCAUUAAUCGUUGUAAAUUAAGUCUUACCCUACUACUAUGGUUUCCACCGAUGACAAAUUUUUCUAUCUUCUUUUGCUUAACAAUUACAAUACUUAUCGUCUUAUUCUCUUCUAUUUCUCUCUUAUGCUCAGUAGUUUUAUUAAGUUUUUUUAUUUUCAGUUUUUUACCUUGCUCUUCCCUUAGUACUUUAUGUUAGUUUUGCUGUGGUAGGAGAAAAUUUUUUCAGCAUCUAGAGCGUGUUGACUAGGAUUGUAGAUUUUGUGAAUGAACAGCUGGGGAAAUACGUCUAUUAGUCUGUCCUUGUUCCUUGAUAUUAAAGGCGUGGUUGUUGUCCCUAAUGUCCCUGUUAAAAGCGCUAUUCAACAAGUAUUAUUGUUAUUUUUCGCUUGAUUUCCAAAUCAAAAUUUUUGUAUGAUUUACUUUGAAUAUUAAAUCUAUGCUGAAUAAUAUUUAAAAAAAAAACUCUAAUAGAGAAAGGAUAGAAUUUAAGUUGUGGGAAGGGAGAUUUGAACCCAAGAGUAUCUAAAUUCUAAAACCUUAACUUUAACUGUUAGACCAAAACCUCCUUGACUCUAAAUAGAAUAAUGGUUAAUCUAGAUUUUAAUAUCAAUAUCAUGGCGUGGAUGAGGAUCUAGAGAAAAGAGGAUACUUUUUAUUAUACAUUGUUUUUCUUUGUCUAAUAAAUUAGUUCUCUAAAAGUAUGGAAUAGUUAAAAUUGUGAGUUUAUAGAGUUAUGGACGGAAUCAGUUUGUUUUUCCUUGUUUAGUUAGUUUAAGGUUCCAUAGGUAGUCUUUACACUUGUUUGUUUAUUUUGUUUCGUAAUUUGGUUGUAAGGUUUGUGGUUAAUGAUUUUGUAUUGCUAUUUACUCAACAUAAAAUUUUAGGUGAGGGAACUAUAUUGCAUCACUGGAAAUUUUCAUUUGCUGCCUUUCAAUUUAAUCCUAUUGGAGCUAUGUUUUUUUUAACUCUUUUCUUGAUUUAAAUUUUCAGGAGUUUCCUGUAACAAUUUAAGCUUGCAUACUUUGUCGGAUAAACUUUUAUGAUUCAAUCGUUGUAUUUGCUUUUGAUAACUUCAACUUUUUAGUAUUUUUGACAUUACUAGAGGAGUUUUAUUUACGGAAUCUUAGUUAGUUCAAAAUUUUCUAAACUAGAAAAUUAUGUAUGUAGCCAGUAACUAAUAUAUGAUUUUUUGGAUUACCACUUCCACUGUGGGAAGGUAUGUUAAAAGAAUAAGCAAUUUUGUGUUUUGUAUUUUGAUUUCUUUUGAAAUAUGUGUUAUGUGAUUUGAUUGUUUUGUCCUACAGAGCAAUUUUGGCAACAAAACUCUUUUUUUUUUUUUUUUGACAUAACAAGAAGAAAGUCCUGGAAAAGUCAAUGUUAAAACCUAUUGAGCCUUUCACAGGAAGCACUUUUAAUAACCAUAUAUAAACAAAACUUUAUAAAAAUAAUCCAUAUAUAAACAAAACUUUAUCAAAAUAAGUAGGAUAUAGCCAACGUUUUAUACUAUUGUCAAUUAGUACAUAAGAAAAUUUUGAACAAUUUGAAAUUGAUCAAAACUUUUUUCGUAGUUAAUUAUCUUUGUAAUGAUCUAAAUUUUUCAAGGUAAUUCUGAAACAAUGAUAGUGUUUAAAAGAGCUCCCAAAUAAUGAAACCUUUGAUACGAUGCAUUCAGUGACUGCAUCUUUUAAACAACGCAUUUAGUAAACAUGUUUUCUAAGAAAAAAGACUGAGUUAAUCUUAUAUACACUGAUAGUGUAUACACUAUCAUAAUGGAUACAUGACAUAUAUGCAAAAUUUAGAAGAGAUUUGAAUAACAAUGCUCCUUUGGAAUUGAUUUUGCAAAAAGUCUUACCUUUUAAUUUACUUGAAUUUUCGUACCCCUUAUACAAUUUAUGCAAUGUGUCUAACUAUUUAUGGCAAUCCAUUACUAACUUUUGAUAUAAUGCAUUCAGUGAGUAAAAAUAUGUAGACAAAUAAAAGAAUACAUUUUGUUAAUGCAGUUUUUAUGGAAACAUGUUCACUAAAUGCGUUUUUUACCCUUUCGGAAGAUAUUUGAAUAACACUACUUCUUUAGAAUUGAUUUCGAAAAACUUACCUUUUGAAAUUUUACUCAAAAUUUUUUGUACCCAUUAGACAAUUCACACAUUGCAUCUAACUAUUUCUACAUAUAACAAUCCAUUACUACAGCUAGGGGUGUUAAAAAAGAACCGAAAAAGCGAGUAACCGAGAAAAUCUAAUUGAUCCAAACUAUAAAAUAGGGUAACUAACUCACAAUUUUUAAAACAAUUAGAUUACCCAAACCUACAUAAAAAAAAAAUUAGGUUAGAAUGUGGUUUUCAAUUUUCAAACAUCGUGAUUACCUAAAACAACCUGCAUAUGUGUAGGCACGUAGGGUUGGUUAGGAUAAUCAGUACCCAAAUCUCAACUCAUAAUUUUUUAGUCAUUUACUAAUAAUAUUUGAGUAAGGAAGACCAUUAUAUAUUUUAUUUUUAAAACUUAUAAACUUAUCUACCUAAACCUAUCUCCCAUUUACCUUGUUCACUUCCUAUAUACAUCGCUACUAACUGCAUUUCUGGUGCUUCUUUUUUUUUUUGCUUUGUCCUUUUUCAAAACUUCUUUUCAUUUCUCAUAGAUUCUAUCAACUUCAUCACUCUAGUAAUUAUUUUGUUUUCAAUUUUUAAAACUUACAUGUUUGGUUGUGGAGUAACUCAUUAAAAAAAUAAAUUGAUAGCUUUCUAGAAAUGGAUGAAAACAAAUAUUCAAAAUAUUUAGUGCUUUAAUAUCUAAUGUGUAUUGAUUUUCUAUAUUGUUGAUAAUUUUUUAGAGUUAUGAUUAAAUACUCUUAUUGAUUUGGAAAAAUGUUGCACUAUUUGAUUUGUUAAUCUAAUUCUUUUUUUAUUCCUAUAAAUAGAAAACAAUAGGUUACACUAAAUACUUAAUCCUAUCCCACCGAUUAAUCGAUCACUAAUUAACCGGUUGAAUUGGGUUAAGGUAUAAUGCAAUUUUGCUGAACUGGUACAUGCACUUAGAGUCAACUAAAUUGCAAAUGGAUUGAUUGUCUGAUCCAUGAACACCCCUAACUACGACGUAUCCUCUCAUCGCUUCCAUGUUGGCUUUUUCUUUUAACUAUUAAUACAAGUACCAGAUUGGGUAGUACAUAUUUUAGUACUUCUUAUUACCGUUUGGAUUAGCUGUUUUUAGGAUAUUUUUGAAAUAUUUUACUAUAACAAUAUAGGUGAAAAACUUUUACUGUAGAAAUUAUUUUUGAGGUUAUUUUUUUGUGUUUUUGAGAUUGGUUUUGGAAUUUUUAAAAUUAUUUUUGUUUGUGUAUUACUGUAACAUUGUAUAUGAAAUUGAAAUUUUUCAAAAAAGACCAAUCCAAAUGGAACUUAAUUUGAAAGUACAAGUACUAUAAUUUAAUGAGAGUACUACUUUUUUAUUUUUGUUGCACUUCUUUUACUAUUUAUCAAUAUUAAAUCUACAACUUAAAUAUUCUAUUGGAUACUAGUAAUAUAUUGUACCUUGAAAAUUCUUUAUAAUAGUUUGUAUUGAUUUACUCAUGAAAUUCAACUUUUACUAUAGAUGAUGAAAAAGAUGCAAUAUAUUUGGUAAAUGAAAAUGUUUGUCUUGCAAUAUAAAUGAAAAUGUUGAUGUCAUGACUACAGAUUUAAUCUUUAUCGAUCUAAUUGUAGAAGAUACAAUAUACUUGUUAGAAAAAAGUUCAAAAAUCUUUCAAACGAUGAUGAAAAAGAACUGCAUAACACCCAAACAAAUCAACAUUUUAAAGAGGGGGAAGAGAAUUAACAAUCUUUCUUAAUCUUGCGGACAACAUUUUGAAGAGGGGAAAGAGAACAGAAGGGAAAAUAUAAUCAAACCCUCAUUCUAACACCAUGAAAAUGGACCAAUUCUAUAACUUAUACGCUAUGUUUUUGUCAAUGUAACGCUUUCUACUUCUAGUCCGAUCUUCGGUUUUUACUUUCUCUGCUAUGUGAUGAACUUGGAAUUGACUCACUUGGUCCAUUUACACUACUAUCUGACUCAUUGAACUGAGAAGACGAACUUGAAAUUGUGUAAAUUGGUGCAUCUACGCUAUCAUCUGACUCAUUGAACUCAGAAGAUGAACUUGAAAUUGAGAUAAUUGGUGCAUCUUCACUAUUAUUUGACACAUUGAACUGGGAAGUCAUCUGUGCCAAGAAUUCUAUAGCUAGCUUCGCUUCCUUUCGAGCCUGCAAAGCCUCCUCAGCCUUCAUCUCAGCCCAACGCCUGUGUAAUUCAGCAGCCUCCUUCAUCGUCCGCUCAGAAAUCACCGAUGCAGCUAUCAGCUGAUUUGCGAAAUGCCGAUCAAUCAUUAACAUUUUAGUUUUCUCAUCUGCACCAAGAUUGAAAAAAUUGAAAUUUGGAUCAGCACAAGAACGGCAUAUGUAUGGGACCCCCCGGAUGGUUAUAGAGAUGGAGGUUGAGGUUGCGGCUGCUCCAGAAUUAAUGCAGGAGAGAUGAGUGAUUGCCGGGCAGCAAUAGCAAUUGACUAGAUCUGAAGAGGGGUUGGGAUUUUCUGGUUCAUAGACUUGGAAACAAAUUGGACAAUAGGCUCCACGAUACACGUUGAGUAAACAAGAUGUGCAAAGUUGCAAAUAGUUGUUAUUGUGAUAGACAUGGUGUAGAAAUGGAGGUUUCCCCAGAUCACAAAGCACACACUGACCGUUCACCAUGUUUUCUUGAUCAAUUUGCUGAAAAGAAAUUGAGUUUUGGUUUAUGAAUGAACAGAAGCAAUAUCAAUUUUAGGUAUUGCUCUUUUAUUCAGUCAUUGGCACGGUGUAAGAAGGAUGGAAUUCAUGGCUAAAUAUGGUGCAUAAGUAGGAACAAAGCUGUGGAUGGUUAAACUUAUGAUAGACCUGGUUUAGAAAUAGAGGUUUUUCCAACUCACAAGGCAUCUUCCUUCAUCAUUUGUGAUCAAUUUAUAGAAAAAUGACAUAAGUGUGGUGUAUUUGAUUUUAUUUUUCGUUUUUUUUUAAUGGGGGAUGAAAUGAAAGAUAGUGACAAAGGAAUUUAUAGCUAAAGAUUGAGCAUUAAUAGGAGCAGCAGAAAUAUUUAGGAUAAAUAAUUAUGAAUCCGCAUCAGAAUUGACACUACUGCCACUAUACUAAUAUACAAGAAAAAAAAUAAAUAUAUGGUAAUUAACAAUUACAUUGCCAUAUAUCGAAUACGUUACAAAAUUAAUUACAUGAAAAAAUAAGCCAUUUGUGACUAAUAUACAUGGUAAGUUGGUAAUGUCUAAAUUAAUUAUCCUACAUUACCAACCUUCAUCAAGAAAAUUAAGUUUUAUUAUUUUUGAUGAUGAUAUUUCUUACAGUACCAAAAAAAAAAAAAGAGGAAAAAAAAGCAAUGUAUCCUUGGAGUGGCCUAAGUUCUAAGAUCACAUAAUUGAGACAAAGUUGGCGAUCGAGUGUAGAGAACAGUUGGUUGCUCAAUUCUGGUGGGCAGUGUACAUAUAUCUUCUUAAACAGAAUCAAUCAAUGCGAAUUAAGAGAAUAGUUAAUGUUGUUAACAAAUUUCCUCCUAGGCAUUGAAUAGUUAAUGCUGUCAAUAAAUUUCCUUCUAGGCAUUGCUUAUCCAUUUGGUUAUUUCUAAAAAAGAGAAUGAAAGAAAGGAAAAAGAUUUUGAAAUAUAAUGUUUAUUUCUGUGUUUAAGAAAGGGUUGGCAGCUAAAAUGUAUUAAAGGCAUAUAAAAGCACACAUAUGCAUUAUUCACGGUUGAUAAUACUUGCUAUAAGCAAGUUGAUUAGUCUCUGAUUAAGAAGUAAGAAAAUGUACUUAACGUUCUAAUAUGUGCAAUCUACGACAUUCUUGUGGAAUUAAUGAGAAAAAAAAGUAGUACAUGGGUUAUUAACUAUGAUUAUAGGAACAGCAUCUAUAGGUAAUUAAAAAAAAUCUGUUAUAAUUAUAGAUGAAAACUAUAGAUUCGAACAUUUAAAGAUAGAUUUAAGUUUUGGAUAUGCUACUAAAGAACAAAAAAAAUUCAAAAUAAAAGAAAUUGAAAAGUUUCUUAUUAUGCGAAGAUUAGAAUAUUAUCCAUUGUAGAUACUUAGAGUUGAUGAUAAUUAAUAUGUGAUAAUGACAACAACAGUAAGUAAAUAUGUGAUAAUUAAUUAUAGCCGCUUAUGUUAUAUAUUGCAAAUUGUGCACUUGUUAGCCGUUCUGAGUAAAAGAUUGUGAGUCGGUGAUGUCUAUCCAAAGCAUCACCAACCUUUAUUAAGGGAAAAAAUAAAAAAGAAACAACAGGAAAAAAUAAAAAGUUUUUCCAACUUGGCAAUUGCAAAGUAGCCCUAUGAACUUUCUUUGGUUUACAAGAGCCCCUUAAACUAAAUUUUCAGCACCAUGCAUCCUCGAACAAUCAAUUUGACGGAUGUACUUGAACCAACUCAUGGAUGCUAGGAGUUAAUGAGUAAAAAGUCAUUAAGAUAUCUAAAUUUACUAAAGAGGUGAAGAGAAAGAAAAAAAAGAGGGCAUUUUGGCAACUUAAUUGAAUCUAGGGAUAUUAAUAACUUUUAAUCGUCAAAUUCCUUGCAUGGAAAACUCAAUUUAAGUACAACACAAAAAAUAUAUAGUACAAUGUAUACAGUGCUGUAACAUAUAAUUUAAAAGUAUUUUGAGGCGUAAAUGAGUCUAAAGGAGCAUAAAUUUGAACAAUUUACCUGACUCAAGUUCGAUCUUAAAUUCGAUUAAAUACUUAAUUUGAUCCUUAGAAUCGACUCGAUAGUAUUUAGGGAGCUCGACUACGCGGCAGUCAAAUUUUUAGUAAUUAUAGUUUACAAAUUUGAAAGCAUUUCAGUUCAUUAACAGCACAAUUUGCAACUUAAAGAAAGUUUAUAGGGUUUUUCACCUAAUUUUUAUAUGCUUACUGGAUAUAAAAGUUACGUGCUUCCAAUUUUUCAUGGUAGUGUAUGUAUAUUUAUGAAGGAAUUGUUUGAUCACCCAUUAGACCAAAAUUUAUUCUUUCAGAAAGCAUAACCGUUUUGAGAGAGAAUUCACUUGGCCAGAGACUUGAUUCCGUUAACUAACUUCAGUGGCAAAUUCUUUCCAGUCAGGAUUACUUGCAAAGAAAAGCAUAUGUGCAAAAUGAACGUUCAAGCUAUUCUAAAACAUUUGUUCUUUGUGACACGCCAUCCACUUUUUCAUACUUGACAAUAAAUGUGAUUCUCUCCCAAAGCAAAACUAGUAACUAUUUUUAUGAUGUAAACAUAUUUGAAACAAUGAGGUUCACCCCUCAAUCUGGUACUAAUUAUAUGCAUUUGGCGUCAUUUUUUUCUUUACUAAUUUCAGGGAUGCAAUUAGAUUUGCACUCUCUUUAUACCUGUUGAUUAUAUCUAUUUGAGUUUCUGCACCUUGUGUAAAAGUGGAACCUCUAUGCUUGAUCGUUUCUGAGAGCUGGAGUUUCAUUUUCCCACUUGCAAACUUCGAUUCAAAAUGAAUCUAUUUUGGUCAACCAUCCUACUGGCAACGUUGCUUAUAAUCUCUUCAGGUACAUCUGUUUUAACAAUCUGCAUUUUGAUUUGAAAUUUCAAUAUGGCACUUAGACGGAACUUUGCUAUAUAUUACUCAAAAGCGCUAGCAAGGAAUUCUUGAAAAAUUAGUUUUCAUUUGAUCGUUUCUUUGUCUGCAUUUUUCGGAAUAGCAGUUCAGUCUUGUGUCUUGGGAUUAGUCGCAUAUGCUUCUUUUGUGCUGUAAUGGUGCCUUCAAAGUUAUAUCAGAUAUUAGAAAUCGAGCAUCACAUAUGUGGAUAGUAAUCUGUUGGUUUGACAAGGGUCAGGGAAUGGCUGGUAGAGUUUUCUAUGUAGAUGCAUAAUUCGAAUUUUAGAGGUAAUAGUUGAGGAUGGACGGGUAUGGAGGGACAAAAAAAAUUAAGAAUUUUAUCCUUAAAAACCAACCAUAUAAGAGGAUUCGGGAUACGAACGAUUGUCAGUGACAACCAUCUAGAGCGAUGUAAUAUAUUCUAAACACUUCCUGCGAAUUACUUGUAAAACUUUAUAAUAUACACACAAUUAUUAUGCAAAGGGUCCACAUAAAUAGUAACAAAAUGUCACGCUCCUAUUGUAAACAUAUACGAACAAUUAAGAAGUAGUUACAAUUUGUUUAAAAAAUAUUACACUGUUUUGGAUAGUUGUCACUGAUAACCGUCCAUGCCCUGCAUUCGCACAAAGAAUUAUCAAAAUUAAUGAUAGACUAAAGAGUUAUCUCCCUUAAUCCAUAAAAUAACUAUGUCCUAGUUUCAAUUACCAAAUAAUUUGUCAAAUGAGCAAGAUCUUAGCUUUGGGAACCUCGAUUUCUUACUUCAUAAAGUAAAAAGUUGGAAUUAUAUUGGAAUUUUGAAAUUUUCAUACUUGUAAUUCUAAUUGAGUUGAAUUUACCAUUUGAAUAUCACACUUGGCUUAAACUGAUUUAACCAAUUCGUCUCUACUUUGUAGACAUUUUGUUGAUAUAGUUUUAUAUUGUUGUCGUCUGUGAAAAAAUAAAAAAAAAUUGAAAAAUACCAUACGAAAUAUUAUGCGGCAUUGAUCAUAUAAUUCCCUGCAUCAUCUAUUGCUUGUUUGUGGUUUGAGAAUGCAUUAGAACUCAACGUUGCAAUUACAUUUUACUGUACUUCUUUGCUCAAAUUUAGUGAAAAUUAUUUUUAAACGCUACUGUGUUGAAUCAAAUGGAGAAGUUUAGCCGGCGUAAAUCAAUAUUUUUCAUGAAUAAAGUCAACCAAUUUAAUUAAACAGGAUCCUAAUCCAUAUUAUCUACCUCUAAUACUUUCACUUUAUGAGCUUUAUCAUUUUUUUUUCUUUGGGAAGAAUUAAGCAUCUUAUACUAUGUGUGAAGUUACAACUAGAGAGAUAAACUGCAAAAACACAUCUACUGAACUUCAUAUAUUCAACUCCAUUUGCAGGCUUAGGAGUUGAAGUUGUUAGUUGCAUAACAAUUCCAGAGCAUAUCUGUCAUGAGAAGAUUUACACCAACAAAUGUCAGCCAAAAAAAUGCACACAAAAAUGUUCAACAAAACCAAGUGGUAAGGGCACAUGCAGAGGCAACAUUUGUGAAUGCAAAUAUUAUUGCAAGCAACCUCCAAAGUGAUCCAAAUUUUCACGUAUAUAUAACUUGAGGCAUAUCACCAGGAUAUAUAUUGUUGUUAUUCAUGAGCCAAGAUUGUUUUGUACAUAGUUAAGUUUAUGCAUCUUGCUUCUGUUUGUUGAUUUACACACUUGAUUACUUGACUUAGCUGAAAUGAUAUGUUGUAGACAAUGACAUUUUUUCAUUUUUAGCCCAAAUAGGAGGAAGUUAAGAAUAUUAAGAACCCUCUCCAUUGAGAUAUUAAGAAUAUCAAAAUGGACAUAUACAGCACUUUUUUUGUCCAAUGUAAGUCCACUUCUAACAUAGAAAAAGGUGAAAAAGUAUCCUCUUGAAUGCAUAUGUCAAGGCUGCAUUCCAAAUUUCUAAUAAGUGGUUCCAUUUCUAUACAUUCUGAGCAUAGCCAAAAAUGGAAGAAAGAAAAAUGUUCUUGGACGGUACAAUAUUUUAUAUGGUCGAAAUUAGAGGUUUGUAGCACCCAGAAAUUGAAGAUUACACAAAUGAUAAAGGAGUAAAUGCAAGAAGUUGCAUUAGCCCACUUGCUUUUCUUUUCUUUUCUUUUUCUGUCAGCAAAUUAGUUGAGAUUGAAAUUAUUAAACUUCGUGAUCCUCUCGUCCAAAUAGUUUGCAAAAAAAUCAUCUUAUAUUAAACUUGGGAUAGAGAUAUCCAAUCACAUGACUAAAUGAGAAUGCAAUAGAGCUAAAAUUUCAAGCUCAGAAGCAUAAGGAAUAGGCUUAGAGAAGUUGAUUCGAUCAUUCUCAAUAAUGUCUCAAUAACUACCUAAUAAUAUAAUCUUCUAACCCCUUAAACGAUUCAUCUAAUCAUGUUCAACAUUGUAUCAAAUCCAGUAAACUUUUACAACAAUAUGCUAGACUAAAUUUUCUUAAUUACUUGGAUUUAAUUACGUAUCUAAUCAUCUCUACCUAAGAAUAGUAUCUUCCAAUCCAUUAAACGAUUCAUCUAAUCAUGUUCAACAUUGUAUCAAAUCCAUAAACUUUUUACAACAAUAUGCUAGACUAACUUUUUUAAUUAAUUAGAUUUAAUUAAGUGUACGGACAGAAUAAUAGAAUGUGAACAGAGAAAAGCAAAAGCGAAAGUGAAAGCAAAAACACCAUCAAAUGGACCACCACAAAGGUUAAUUCUCAAUUAAGGUUGGACAGAUCAUUACUGCCAUGAGAUGGUGUAAGAUGGCAUGUUGUAAAUCUUGAUUUACAGAUAGAUCAUCUCACAACCAUAUAGGAUCAUCAUAUGUAAUUGUAAAUUGCAUAUAUUUUAGUGGACAGUUUAUCAUAGACUUAGUGGACAACACAGUCUAUCAUAUAUUUUAGUGUACACCAGAAUUUAUAAAUGCGUGUGCACAGUAAUCCUUUGUGUCUUGAUGGUACGUGAGAUGAUUCUUCAUCAAAAUUUGGGAGGCACAUGGCAAAUUCUAAUGUUUUUAUGACUGCAAUAUCACAUCUAAAUUCUGUAUUCUAAAAAUGGUAGGUCUCCUGAAGAAUGAAGCGUAUGAAAGAGAUUGGCGACUUUGAUGACUUCCUUUCUUUCGGUCUUUUUUUAAUUAUAUCAGAUGUCCCUGAUGGGACUUUUCUUUCUGUCUGGUAAUGACUUUUCUAACAAGACCACUGUCUUUUCACCACUUCAAGUAAACUCCAUCAUUAAGGGAGAAGUUCGCUAAUUCUGGUGUUCUAAGGAAGUUCUCCUCCCUCUACAAUCGGGUACAUAACUAUUUUUGGUUACAACUUUUGGUGAUUCAAUCAGCAGCAGAAGAUGGAGAUUGGGCAAAGAAACGACCAUUUCAGUCCUCACUGGAAAAGGGUAAGUGAAACUGCAAAGUUCAGUGUCUAAUUUCCCCGUGUUUAGUUCCUUUUCAAACGUAAAAAUGCAUUUUCUAUGUCCAGACAAAUCCAGCAAUUGAUCAACGACUUAAGAAACAGUGUAAAGAAGACCCUUUCUGACUUGUAUACUUCUGUACUGAUAGGAUCCGUCUUUCAUAGAAGGGCCAGAUUCUGCAGGAUCAUUUAGUAUUCCGGUCCAAGCUUUGAACAUCGCAUGGGGAAGAGACCAUCGUUACUGGCGAUGGAUUACGCUUGGCGAAGACGAAAAUAGGUAAAAUGUUAAGUCCUGACAAUUUCUUAAUUGAUGCUUAGCCAUUUCUGUGUACAGGAGACUAUUCUGCUAGACUAGUCCUAGUUUUUAUUAUUAUUAUUAAAAGAGAAUCAAUAAUAGUUCUUCAUUUAUCUUAUGAUGAUUCAAACCCGUAACCUCUUGGUUACAGACGAAACAUUUUAACAACUAAGUCAUGCUUGUUGUCAAACUAGUCCUACUUAAGCUAGUUUGAUGGCCCAAAUCUGUAGAGUAUACCUCAUGCAUGUAAUCUUUUUUGACUUGUAUAUUACUGCCUUUACCUGGUAUACCUGACCAUAUGACUAAAAUGGAAUUAAUCUCAUCUUGCUUACAGGUCAGUUGGCUUUGAGCAAGCUGUAUUACUCGAUCAAGUGAACUGGUUUGAAGUGACUGGAAUGUUGGACAUUCCAUGCUUGAACUUGGCCGUGCACACCACCUAUAGACUAUACUAUGUAGUAAAGUUCUUGCCUGGUGCAUUUGGGUGGCAUACGGCCGAUGUCAAAUUUAUGGUGAAGUUCAAAAUACUCAGGAGAUCAUGUCUACUGAGCUCAUCAUACUGGAGACCUACAAGAAGCAACCUGAUCAGUGGCAUGAGAUACCUGGUGGUAAACCCUUUGUUGUUAACGAUGAAGUUCUAAUCACUACCGUUGAGUUUGGAAUGUUUGAAGUGGAAACUGAUUGGUGGAAGGGUGGCAUGGUACUUGGAGGGGUCAAAGUUAAACCAGACAACCCUCCUGCCACAGAGCAGCAAUAAAUAAGAGUCUUUACUAUUGUUCUUAUCAUCAUUUUUUCCUUUUUUGGAGAGAAGGAAAUGGAUAAGAUUUGAGGAAUAUUGAGCUAUGUUGCAGUCGUUCCUUCUCUUCCAAGGCCUUGGAAUGUGUUUAUUUGUUUAUCCUCGGUGAAGCCGGACACCAUCUCAAUAUUUGUGUAUGCGCAUGCUUGAAAAAAUCAAGUGCUGUGGUUAUGGUUUCCAGACAUCCUACCUUGCUGCUUCCAGGCAUCUAACCAAUUCUUUAUCCAUUUUGCUUUUUUGGCAACAUAUUGAGUUGUUCCUUUUCUUUUUUUUUUUGUCCCCUAUGGGAAGCAACAUUUCUAGGAUUAAAGAUCAAUUUCAUUUCCAUUGUAAUGAGUACAUGCCUUCUCCUUUAUACUUCUUUUUUUCUGGGAUGCUGAUCAUUUUCUUUGUUUUAUUUAAGUCGUUUGGCCUUUUGCUUUUUUUUGGCAAAUUUCCCAUUUAAAGAUAGCAAAGGAGCAUAGGCAGCAGGCGCUCAUCCUCUGCCUGCUAAUGCAAGAAGAAUACUACUACCUUUUCUAAACUUUUCAAUGGCUGAGAAUAACUUUACAAAAAGUAGGCAAUCUGAAUGUCUUGAUUAUAGCCGUUAGUUAUCAGGAGAAGAAUAAUCUUCUACUAAAAGAUUCGUAAAAAACCGACAUUCACGUGAAGCCCAGCAUGCAACUUGUAGCCAUCAAGAAUGUGUGCUUCCUAGCUUGAGAUUCGAGGUCCACUAAAAGAGAAUAUAUCAACCUUUAACAAAGCAAUCAUGCUUGCAGAAUAUAAGCGCUGCUACCUGCAGCAUAAACAAGGCUCCCCAAAGACUUCCUUUAGAACGAAAUGGGGGCAGAGUGGUCACAAGAUGAGGUAUCACAGCCUACUGAAGAACACAGAAAGGAAACCCCUCCAUGCACUCCACAGAUCAACAAUAAUGAGUCUGGGGCAAUUCAGGAGACUGCCACAGAACUUAAGCUUCCUCACAAUCACGAAGAGAUUCUCAAAGAUGCUGAUGCACCGGUUGACAAGUCGUCUACUGAGAAGCUCUAUGAUCAGCUAUAUGCAGGAGUAUUCUUAAACCAAAAAAAGAAGGCAAGUGAUUCUGUUUUUCAACACAUUCACAAAUUUUAGUAGGUAUCUGCAAACAUCCACACGGUUUACAGAUUUAGUAGUAUUCAAAGUAAUGCAUCCUACUGAGUCUGAAAUCCUGUUGGGUAGCCAAGUGAAUUAAAAAUUCCAAACAGAGCUAUCAUCACCAUUUCUUUCAUAUUUUUUUCAUAAAAUAUGAACUUAAUUAUGCAAGAAUAGUUUUUACCAGAGACUUUUAUGUAAUGCAGAAGUAUUGGAUUGAUAGGACCUCUAAGAAGAACUGCUUCAUGCUAUAUGCAAGAAAUCUUUCAAUAACCUGGGCUGAAGACAGAUCCUGCUGGCACUGGCCCUUCAUAAAAGAAUCCAGGUAGCUACCGAGAAGCAUAGUUAGCAGACAAAACAAGAAGUCUGCUAACUGUGUCUAGCUCCAUCCAGUACCCUAAUAGUCCUUAUUUAUUAUUAGCAGGACAAGAACUGGGUAAACAAAGAACAACGACACGUUGCAUCAGAAAUCGAAUAAUAAACUAAGAGAUGAAAGUCAUAAUUUUUGUAGAAUAGUUAUGAAGUUUAACACUUCUUGGAAAGAAUCUUUUCGAGUAAACGGUUAGUCACCAAAAGCCAUGCCAUUUGUUAUGCACAAUCAAAAUUCAAAAACCAGAUAUGCCAAAAACACAACCAAUAACAGAUUUAUCAUGUUUUACAGACUGAUGCUUCUGGACUAUAAACUGAUUACUAGUGCUGCUUCCUAUUUUGCAGUGAUGUGACUCUAGUGCUGCAGAGCUGCUGAACGUUUGCUGGCUGGAAAUUCAUGGAUGGUUCAACACGGUCAAUCUCACACCAAGAACUCUCUAUCAGGUUGUAUUUGUUCUUAUGUUAAAAGAUCCUGCUUAUGGAUGGGGAAUUCCAGUGAACUUCAGACUCAUUCUAGCAGAUGGAAGCAGACAGGAACACAAAGAAAAUAUGAUGAAAAACCUAGGGGAAAGUGGAUAGAAAUCCUAGCAGGAGAAUUUGAGACGUUGCCAGAGAAUGAUGGGAAUAUGGAGUGUUCAAUGUAUGAAUAUGAGGGUGGGGGUGGAAGAGAGGACUGGUCAUAAAAGGAAUUCUCAUUCGACCAAAAGACUGAAGUUCUUCAGCAAUCCGCUACGACUGCAGAGGCAAUUUAUGCUGGCCAAAGUUUACUUUCAAAUCACACGGGAUGAAGAAUCCAAUUACAAA